AGUCGAACGGAAAGGCCCUUCGGGGUACUCGAGUGGCGAACGGGUGAGUAACACGUGGGUGAUCUGCCCUGCACUUUGGGAUAAGCCUGGGAAACUGGGUCUAAUACCGAAUAUGACCGCGCACUUCCUGGUGUGUGGUGGAAAGCUUUUGCGGUGUGGGAUGGGCCCGCG
RNAcentral lists this ribosomal RNA (171 nucleotides) under Mycolicibacterium fortuitum. RNAcentral describes it as "partial 16S ribosomal RNA". It matches the Rfam family "Bacterial small subunit ribosomal RNA", at positions 60 to 235 of the family's 1533-position model. Lineage: Bacteria; Bacillati; Actinomycetota; Actinomycetes; Mycobacteriales; Mycobacteriaceae. The record is from RNAcentral.